This 462-nucleotide ribosomal RNA is filed under the name uncultured bacterium. Its description in RNAcentral is "SSU rRNA". It matches the Rfam family "Bacterial small subunit ribosomal RNA", at positions 26 to 518 of the family's 1533-position model. The record is from RNAcentral.
AGGAUUAACGCUGGCGGCGUGCCUAACACAUGCAAGUCGAACGAGGUAGCAAUACCUAGUGGCAGACGGGUGAGUAGCGCGUGGUCAACCUACCGUUGAGUGGGGGAUAACUAGCCGAAAGGUUAGCUAAUACCGCAUACGUCUCCGAGGGGCAUCCCUUGGCGAUAAAAGGAGCAAUCCGCUCGAUGACGGGACCGCGUCCCAUUAGCUAGUUGGUGGGGUAACGGCCUACCAAGGCGUCGAUGGGUGGCUGGUUUGAGAGAGCGACCAGCCACACUGGGACUGAGAUACGGCCCAGACUCCUACGGGAGGCAGCAGUGAGGAAUUUUCCGCAAUGGGCGAAAGCCUGACGGAGCGACGCCGCGUGUGGGAAGAAGGCCUUCGGGUCGUAAACCACUGUCGAAGGGGAAGAUAAUGACGGUACCUUGGAGGAAGCCCGGCUAACUACGCGCCAGCAGCCGC